GGGAAAAAAAAGGAGAUGAUAUACUACAUAUAGAGUUAAGAAAAUGGGCUGACAUUUUUGUUGUUUGUCCACUUGAUGCUAAUACGUUGGCUUUUGUUGCGACAGGUGCUUGUCCUAAUUUGUUGACUUGCAUUUUCCGUUGUUGGGAUUUCAAUAAACCAUGUUUAGUUUUUCCUUGCAUGAACACAUAUAUGUACAACCACCCUAUCACAAAACUACAAAUUGAUACUAUCACUUCUUGGGGAAUCAAAGUCAUUAAACCAAUAGCAAAGAUAUUAGCUUGUGGUGAAUAUGGUAUUGGGGCACUUGAAAGUGUUGACGUUGUGAUUGAUGAAAUAAUAAAAU
Molecule: long non-coding RNA, 345 nt
Organism: Piliocolobus tephrosceles (Ugandan red Colobus)
Lineage: Eukaryota; Metazoa; Chordata; Mammalia; Primates; Cercopithecidae
Exons: 4
Source: RefSeq, a predicted model, not a curated record